UACGUAGGGUGCAAGCGUUGUCCGGAAUUAUUGGGCGUAAAGAGCUCGUAGGCGGUUUGUCGCGUCUGCUGUGAAAACUCGGGGCUUAACCCCGGGCCUGCAGUGGGUACGGGCAGACUAGAGUGCGGUAGGGGAGACUGGAAUUCCUGGUGUAGCGGUGAAAUGCGCAGAUAUCAGGAGGAACACCGGUGGCGAAGGCGGGUCUCUGGGCCGUAACUGACGCCUGGAGGAAGCGA
This 236-nucleotide ribosomal RNA is filed under the name uncultured bacterium. RNAcentral describes it as "partial 16S ribosomal RNA". It matches the Rfam family "Bacterial small subunit ribosomal RNA", at positions 524 to 756 of the family's 1533-position model. The record is from RNAcentral.